GCUGGCUAAGAAUAGGAGCUUGUUUGAGGAUGUUUGGCAAUCUGUGCGGCUCACUCUUGAGAGGGCCUUACUACAGGCUAUUGAGAUUGUGCGUUGUACUUCGAUUGGCUCGACUUUGAUAACCUGAGAGAUCUGGGACUCUCUGACAGUAGCAGCAGCACCCUGAUUGGUAUUUAUCACUUGAAAACCCCCACCCCCUGGAUAUGUCAAGGUCAACUUCGAUGGUAGUAUCAG
Molecule: long non-coding RNA, 234 nt
Filed under: Elaeis guineensis (African oil palm)
Lineage: Eukaryota; Viridiplantae; Streptophyta; Magnoliopsida; Arecales; Arecaceae
Description: long non-coding RNA (EGUI_LNC028296)
Source: RNAcentral